CAAUAGCAUACAUUAAAAAAGCUCGUAGUUGGAUUUCUGGCAUGAUGCGUCUGGCCGCCUCAAUUCUGAGUGUGUGUGCGAGUGCGCGUCUGCCAUCCAUUUGCAGAAUGUGUCUACUCUUCAUUUAGCCGGAUACGUGAUGUAUCUUUUACUUUGAAAAAUUAGAGUGUUUUAAGCAGGCAUUUGCUAUGAAUACAUUAGCAUGGAAUAAUAAUCUAGGACUUCGGUUCUAUUUUGUUGGUUUCUAGAUCUGAAGUAAUGAUUGAUAGGGAAAGUUGGUGGUUCUAGUAUUAAGGGGCCAGAGGUGAAAUUCUUUGGUUCUCUUAAGACUAACGUAUGCGAAAGCAUUCACCAAGGAUGUCUUCUUUAAGCAAGAACGAAAGUUGGGGGAUCGAAGAUGAUCAGAUACC
RNAcentral lists this ribosomal RNA (410 nucleotides) under uncultured eukaryote. RNAcentral's name for it is "bacterial SSU rRNA". It matches the Rfam family "Eukaryotic small subunit ribosomal RNA", at positions 621 to 1016 of the family's 1831-position model. The record is from RNAcentral.